Molecule: ribosomal RNA, 465 nt
Filed under: uncultured bacterium
Lineage: Bacteria
Description: partial 16S ribosomal RNA
Rfam family: Bacterial small subunit ribosomal RNA
Source: RNAcentral
GACGAACGCUGGCGGCGUGCUUAACACAUGCAAGUCGAACGGAAAGGCCCCUUUGGGGGUCCUCGAGUGGCGAACGGGUGCGUAACACGUGAGUAACCUGCCCUUGACUUCGGGAUAACUUCAGGAAACUGGGGCCAAUACCGGAUAGGAAUCAUUGCUGCAUGGUGGUGGUUGGAAAGCUUCGGCGGUUUUGGAUGUACUUGCGGCGUAUCAGCUUGUUGGUGGGGCAGUGGCUUACCAUGGCUUUGACGGGUAGCCGGCCUGAGAGGGCGACCGGACACAUUGGGACUGAGAGACGGCCCGGACUCCUAAGGGAGGCGGCAGGGGGGAAUAUUGCACGAUGGGCGGAAGCCUGAUGCAGCAACGCCGCGUGCGGGAUGACGGCCUUCGGGUUGUAAGCCGAAUUCAGCAGGUGCGAAGCUUGUGGUGACGGUACCUGCAGAAGAAGCACCGGCUAACUACGUG